ACCUCUCUAAAAGUAAGCUGCUGCAACAGCUGUUCUAAACAGUAUUGCAUUUGUCAAACACGCGAUGUAGUUGUGUUUUGUCAGUUCUUACUUGAAUUGAUCUGUAUAAAUCAUCUGAGGCAUGUUCUUACAGAAACAUCAUCACCUCUUCAUUAUAAAUCCAAAACUGGGGAAGAAGUAGGAGUCAAUAAAUGUGUGACAAAAGAUCUCCAAAAGAGAAGUAGUUUUGGUGGUAUAUCUUCAGCAGUGGUAAAGAUAUAUUG
This 263-nucleotide long non-coding RNA is filed under the name Numida meleagris (helmeted guineafowl). RNAcentral describes it as "lncRNA (ENSNMEG00000013921.1)". The record is from RNAcentral. Lineage: Eukaryota; Metazoa; Chordata; Aves; Galliformes; Numididae.